RNAcentral lists this long non-coding RNA (369 nucleotides) under Bos indicus x Bos taurus (hybrid cattle). Its description in RNAcentral is "lncRNA (ENSBIXG00005030134.1)". The record is from RNAcentral. Lineage: Eukaryota; Metazoa; Chordata; Mammalia; Artiodactyla; Bovidae.
UGGCUGUUCUGUGUCCCUCUAGCUCCCCAGGAGGGCCUCGUGGUGAAACGGCGGCGUGAGGCCUGGGUUGAGGGGCAGCCUCUGAGGGCCCCGAAGGAAUCCGGAGCAGUCUUUGAAUAUGCUCCCCAGGAGGGCCUGGUGGUGAAACGGCGGCGUGAGGCCUGGGGUGAGGAGCAGCCUCUGAGGGCCCCGAAGGAAUCCGGAGCAGUCUUUGAAUAUGAUUUCAUUGAGGACCUGCCAAUCAACCCAGCUUGUGACAGGACCGAAGAGACCCCGUGUGUCUCCAAGGCAAGCUAUUUUGUUUUCUGGUCUGAGAUAGAAAUACAUUUUCAUUUAUCUUUCAGUAGAAUUAAGCUAUGAGUCUUUGAG